AUAAGUGGCCAUGCCACCUUAUACACGCCUGAUCUCAUCUGAUCUUUGAAGCAAAGCAGGGGUCACGUCUGGUUAAUCAUCGGAUUACCUGGGCAAACAUGCAGUGAGCUACC
This 113-nucleotide ribosomal RNA is filed under the name Oryzias melastigma (Indian medaka). The record is from RNAcentral. Lineage: Eukaryota; Metazoa; Chordata; Actinopteri; Beloniformes; Adrianichthyidae.